This 2709-nucleotide long non-coding RNA is filed under the name Nicotiana tabacum (common tobacco). Its description in RNAcentral is "long non-coding RNA (NTAB_LNC000707)". The record is from RNAcentral. Lineage: Eukaryota; Viridiplantae; Streptophyta; Magnoliopsida; Solanales; Solanaceae.
AUGAAAAACCAGCAGCUGAAGAGAAACCUAGAGAACUAGUAGUUGAAGAAAAAGCUGAAGAACCAACACCGGAAGAACUAGAAUUUGAAGAGAAACCUGAAGAACCAACUGCUGAAGAAAUACCUGAACAAUUAGUAGUUGAAGAGAAAUCUGAAAAACCAGAGGUUAAAGAGGAGAAGUCUGAAAAGGUAACUCUCUUGGAAAAAGUGAGGAUCAAGCACUAUCACAAAGUUUAUCCAUCCUAUUAGUUCUGUAUGUGCAAAGAUUCGUAUCUACUUAUCAAUUGAAAGAUUAAGUGAAACUUUAAAUUCUUCUUGCAGAAUAUGUCAGUUGUAGAUUUCAAUGAGAAGACUGACAGUGAAAUUCCAUGCAAUACCAACAAUGAUGUUGCCGACUAUGUAUCAGUUGAGGCAAACCUUGAAGAACCGGUAGUUGAAGAAAAACCUGAAGAAACAACGGUUGAGAAGAAACCUGAAGAACCAUCAAUUGAGGAGAAACGUGAAACACCAGCAUUUGAGAAGAAACCUGAAGAACCAAUAAUUGAGGAGAAACCUGAAGAACAAACAAUUGAAGAGGAGAAACAUGAAAGGAUAACUCUCCUGGAAAAGGUGAGGAUCAAGCAUUGUCACAAAGUUUAUCCAUCUUGUUAGUCGUGUAUACGAUACAAUUUACAUAUGCUUACCUACUGAAAGACUAAGUAAGACUUUAAAGUUCUUCUUGCAGAGUAUUCCAGUUGUAGUCCCGAACGACAAAACUGAAAGUAAAACUCCAAGCAUUACAAACAAUAAUGCUGCUCACUUUUCAGAAGUUGAGGAAAACCCUGAAGAACCUGCAGUAAAAGAAAAAACUGAAAAACCAGUUCUUGAAGAGAAACCUGAAGAACCAACAGUUGAAGAGAAAUCUGAAGAACCAGUUGAGGAGAAACCUGAAGAACCAACAGCUGAAGAGAAACCUGAAGAACCAGCAACUAAAGAAAAACAAGUGCUAGUAGGGGAGGAAACAGCUGAAGAACUAGCGCUUGAAGAGAAACCUGAAGAACUAACGAUUGAACAGACAGAUGAAGAACUAGUUGUUGAAGAUAAAACUGAAAAACCACCAAAUAAAGAGGAGAGACCUGAAACGGUAACUCUCCUUUAGCAGUGUCACAGAGUUUAUCCAUCCUAUUAGUUCUAUAUGUGCAACGAAUUCAUAUCUGUUUAUCUAUUGAAAUACUAAGUGAAAAUUCAAAUUUUCUUGCAGAAUUUGCCCAUUGCAGACUCAAAGGACCAGACUGACAAUGCAAUUCCAUGCGAUACCAACAAUGAUAUUGCUGACUAUGCAACAGUUGAGGAAAAACCUGAAGAAACAGUAGUUGAAGAAAAACAUGAAGAACCUGCAAUUGAAAAGAAAUUUGAAGAAUCAACAGUUAUGGAGAAACCUGAAGAACCAGCAGUGGAAGAAAAACCUGAAGAACCAACAGUUAAAGAGGAACCUGAAAAAUCAGUGAUGGAAGAGAAACCUGAAGAACCAAUUGUUGAGGAGAAACUUGAAGAACCAACUGUUGAAGAGAAACCUGAAAAAUCACUGAUUGAAGAAACACCUGAAGAACCAAUAUGGGAAGAAACACCUAAAGAACUAGCAUUUGAAGAGAAACCAGAAGAACCAGCAGUUGAAGAGGAGAAACCUGAAAAGGUAACUCUUUUGGAAGAGGUGAGUAUCAAGCAUUAGCACAUAGUUUAUCCAUCAUGUUAUUUCUGUAUGUGCAUCGAUUCACAUCUGCUUAUCUAUUGAAAGUCUAAAUGAGACUUUAAAUUCUUCUUGCAGAAUAUACCAGCUGUAGAUUUCAACGACAAGACUGACCGUGAAAUUCCAUGCGAUACCAACAAUGAUAUUGCUGACUAUGCAACAGUUGAGGAAAAACCUGAAGAACCGGUAGUUGAAGAAAAACAUGAAGAACCUGCAAUUGAAAAGAAAUUUGAAGAAUCAACGGUUAUGGAGAAACCUGAAAAACCAGUGGUUAAGGUACAACCUGAAGAACCAGCAGUGGAAGAAAAAGUUGAAGAACCAACAGUUAAUGAGGAACCUGAAAAAUCAGCGAUGGAAGAGAACCCUGAAGAAUCAAUUGUUGAGGAGAAACUUGAAGAACCAACUGUUGAAGAGAAACCUGAAAAAUCACUGAUUGAAGAAACACCUGAAGAACCAAUAUGGAAAGAAACACCUAAAGAACUAGCAUUUGAAGAGCAACCAGAAGAACCAGCAGUUGAAGAGGAGAAACCUGAAAAGGUAUCUCUUUUGGAAGAGGUGAGUAUCAAGCAUUAUCACAUAGUUUAUCCAUCCUGUUAUUUCUGUAUGUGCGACGAUUCACAUCUGCUUAUCUAUUGAAAGACUAAAUGAGACUUUAAAUUCUUCUUGCAGAAUAUGCCAGCUGUAGAUUUCAACGACAAGACUGACUGUGAAAUUCCAUGCAAUACCAACAAUGAUGUUGCUGAAUAUGUAGCAAUUGAGGAAAACCUUGAAGAACCAGCAGUUGAAGAAAAACAUGAAGAACCAACAGUUGAGGAGAAACCUGAAGAACUAGCAGUUGAAGAGAAACCCGAAAAACCAACAAUUGAGGAGAAACAUGAAGAACCAAUAGUUGAGAAGAAACCUGAAGAACCAGUAGUUGAGGAGAAACCAGAAGAACCACUAAUUGAAGAGGAGAAAUCUGAAAGGGUAACUUUCCUAGAAAAG